This 447-nucleotide ribosomal RNA is filed under the name uncultured bacterium. RNAcentral describes it as "bacterial SSU rRNA". It matches the Rfam family "Bacterial small subunit ribosomal RNA", at positions 355 to 825 of the family's 1533-position model. The record is from RNAcentral.
UGGGGAAUAUUGGACAAUGGGCGCAAGCCUGAUCCAGCCAUGCCGCGUGAGUGACGAAGGUCUUCGGAUUGUAAAACUCUUUUGGCGGGGACGAUAAUGACGGUACCCGCAGAAUAAGCCCCGGCUAACUUCGUGCCAGCAGCCGCGGUAAUACGAAGGGGGCUAGCGUUGUUCGGAAUCACUGGGCGUAAAGCGCACGUAGGCGGAUGUGCCAGUCAGGGGUGAAAUCCCGGAGCUCAACUCCGGAACUGCCUCUGAUACAGCACGUCUUGAGUUCGAGAGAGGUGGGUGGAAUUCCUAGUGUAGAGGUGAAAUUCGUAGAUAUUAGGAAGAACACCGGUGGCGAAGGCGGCCCACUGGCUCGAUACUGACGCUGAGGUGCGAAAGCGUGGGGAGCAAACAGGAUUAGAUACCCUUGUAGUCCCUGAGCGGGCUGGCAAGGCGCAU